Molecule: ribosomal RNA, 454 nt
Filed under: uncultured archaeon
Lineage: Archaea
Description: bacterial SSU rRNA
Rfam family: Archaeal small subunit ribosomal RNA
Source: RNAcentral
CUAAGACCUGCGAGUCGAGCGUCUCUAGCUAUGUUGAGACGCGGCAGACGGCUCAGUAACACGUGGCUAACCUACCCUCAGGACAAGUACAAACCCGGGAAACUGGGGCUAAUACUCGAUAGGCGAAGGCGCCUGGAAUGGUUCUUCACCCAAAGGGCUUUAGAAACAUGCUUCUAGAGUCGCCUGGGGAUGGGGCCGCGUCCGAUCAGGUUGUUGGUGAGGUAACGGCUCACCAAGCCUAUAACCGGUACGGGCCGUGAGAGCGGUAGCCCGGAAAUGGGUACUGAGGCCAGGACCCAGGCCCUACGGGGCGCAGCAGUCGCGAAAACUCCGCAAUGCACGAAAGUGUGACGGGGCUACCCCGAGUGCCGUCCGCUGAGGAUGGCUUUUCCUUGGUGUAACUAGCCGGGGGAAUUAGGAGAAGGGCAAGACUGGUGUCAGCCGNNCGCGGUAA